RNAcentral lists this ribosomal RNA (463 nucleotides) under uncultured bacterium. Its description in RNAcentral is "bacterial SSU rRNA". It matches the Rfam family "Bacterial small subunit ribosomal RNA", at positions 331 to 792 of the family's 1533-position model. The record is from RNAcentral.
CCAGACUCCUACGGGAGGCAGCAGUGGGGAAUAUUGGUCAAUGGGCGCGAGCCUGAAUCAGCCAAGUCGCGUGAGGGAAGACGGUCCUAUGGAUUGUAAACCUCUUUUGUCGGGGAGCAAAAGACGCCACGCGUGGCGUUCCGAGAGUACCCGAAGAAAAAGCAUCGGCUAACUCCGUGCCAGCAGCCGCGGUAAUACGGAGGAUGCGAGCGUUAUCCGGAUUUAUUGGGUUUAAAGGGUGCGCAGGCGGAAGAUCAAGUCAGCGGUAAAAUUGAGAGGCUCAACCUCUUCGAGCCGUUGAAACUGGUUUUCUUGAGUGAGUGAGAAGUAUGCGGAAUGCGUGGUGUGGCGGUGAAAUGCAUAGAUAUCACGCAGAACUCCGAUUGCGAAGGCGGCAUACCGGCGCUCAACUGACGCUGAAGCACGAAGGCGUGGGUAUCGAACAGGAUUAGAUACCCUAGUA